This 466-nucleotide ribosomal RNA is filed under the name Bacillus sp. (in: firmicutes). Its description in RNAcentral is "bacterial SSU rRNA". It matches the Rfam family "Bacterial small subunit ribosomal RNA", at positions 62 to 509 of the family's 1533-position model. The record is from RNAcentral. Lineage: Bacteria; Bacillati; Bacillota; Bacilli; Caryophanales; Bacillaceae.
UCGAGCGGACCGACGGGAGCUUGCUCCCUUAGGUCAGCGGCGGACGGGUGAGUAACACGUGGGUAACCUGCCUGUAAGACUGGGAUAACUCCGGGAAACCGGGGCUAAUACCGGAUGCUUGAUUGAACCGCAUGGUUCAAUCAUAAAAGGUGGCUUUUAGCUACCACUUGCAGAUGGACCCGCGGCGCAAUAGCUAGUUGGUGAGGUAACGGCUCACCAAGGCGACGAUGCGUAGCCCACCUGAGAGGGUGAUCGGCCACACUGGGACUGAGACACGGCCCAGACUCCUACGGGAGGCAGCAGUAGGGAAUCUUCCGCAAUGGACGAAAGUCUGACGGAGCAACGCCCCGUGAGUGAUGAAGGUUUUCGGAUCGUAAAACUCUUUUGUUAGGGAAGAACAAGUACCGUUCGAAUAGGGCGGCACCUUGACGGUACCUAACCAGAAAGCCACGGCUAACUACGUGCC